AGUGAACGCUGGCGGUAGGCCUAACACAUGCAAGUCGAACGGCAGCACAGUAAGAGCUUGCUCUUACGGGUGGCGAGUGGCGGACGGGUGAGGAAUACAUCGGACUCUACUUUUUCGUGGGGGAUAACGUAGGGAAACUUACGCUAAUACCGCAUACGACCUACGGGUGAAAGCAGGGGAUCUUCGGACCUUGCGCGAUUGAAUGAGCCGAUGUCGGAUUAGCUAGUUGGCGGGGUAAAGGCCCACCAAGGCAACGAUCCGUAGCUGGUCUGAGAGGAUGAUCAGCCACACUGGAACUGAGACACGGUCCAGACUCCUACGGGAGGCAGCAGUGGGGAAUAUUGGACAAUGGGCGCAAGCCUGAUCCAGCCAUACCGCGUGGGUGAAGAAGGCCUUCGGGUUGUAAAGCCCUUUUGUUGGGAAAGAAAAGCAGCAGGUUAAUACCCCGCUGUUCUGACGGUACCCAAAGAAUAAGCACCGGCUAACUUCGUG
This 492-nucleotide ribosomal RNA is filed under the name uncultured bacterium. RNAcentral's name for it is "partial 16S ribosomal RNA". It matches the Rfam family "Bacterial small subunit ribosomal RNA", at positions 29 to 507 of the family's 1533-position model. The record is from RNAcentral.